CUUCCUCUGGGCAUAGAGCAGGACUCCUUCUGGAAUGAAGGUCUAAUGGUCUACAAUCUGUCAAGAUCAGCUCUAUUCAGUAUGGAAAAGGACUACACAGAAACUUGAAUAACAUGAGGCAAGAAUCAAUGGGGACCAUCUUGGAUAAUGGUUAUUACCAAGAAGAUAAACACAAUAAUAAAUAGAAUAUUUAAGUGAUGACCAGUGCUCCAAUAACCAUGUUGGAAUAUGAAGCAACCUUGAAGAUGAAAGCUAUGCACUUAGAAUGAGGAGUAGAAACUUAAACACUAAGGACCAAGAAACAGCAACACUAAUCCUGAACUCUAUUUCAGGACUUCUUUUAAAUGAAAAAAAAAAAAAAUAAUAAUCUUCCAUACAUUUAGCCAGUAUUAUUUCGGAUUCUAUUAUUUUUGUUACACAUAGCUAUUGAUAUGGGAGUUAAGAAGAAAUUAUUUAGGCAGAUAGUGAGGUUAUGGAAGCUGAGAAGUUCAAGGUCGAGGGGCCACAUCUGGAGAGAGUCUUCUUGCUGGUGGGGACUCUGCAGAGUCUGGAGGCGGAGCAGGGCAUCAUACAAAAAGAGAUGGAAAAUCUCAAGAAGUUAUAGCAUCAAGAAAUUCUUAUCUUGAAGAGGCAGAAGAGUUGCAGGGGCUUCAAUUACCUUAAUUUGACCCAUUCAGCUCAGUUUAACUGAGAUGCACAUUUACGUCAGUGGACUUGGAGUAGAGAUUGCCCUAUAACAUGAGUGGGCCUCAUCCAAUCACUUGAAGUCCUGAAUAGAACAAAGAGUGACCUCCCCUGAGCAAGAGGGAAUUCUGCAGCAGACUACCUUUGGACUGGAAUUGCAGCAUUGGCCCUCCCAGGGUCUCCGGUCUGCCAGCCCACCCAGUAGAUUUUGACCUUGCCAACCUCUAUUAUUGCAUAAGUCAGUUUUGAAAAAUA
RNAcentral lists this long non-coding RNA (939 nucleotides) under Homo sapiens (human). RNAcentral describes it as "HSALNT0367596". Lineage: Eukaryota; Metazoa; Chordata; Mammalia; Primates; Hominidae. The record is from RNAcentral.